CUAACGCUUUCCUCCCUACUCCCCCUGCGACCACCCCGCAGCUCGCUACGGAGGCCCCCGAAGUACAAACGUCCCUCACGCUCCGAGCCCCCUCGGAGGCUGCGUCCAGUCUGACUCCUCGGGCCCUAAAGCCCUGUGCUCAUUUUUCUUUGUUUUUUGUUUCUUGUUUUUCUUUUAGUCAGGAAUUCGCACUGGUGAGUUCCCUAAGGCGGCAGAAACUUUUGCCUCUUCACGGAAGUAAAAGUUGGUUCUCUUUUACCCGCUGCCGCCCAGGCCUCCCGCAUUCCUUCCCUCCCGCCUCUCCGGAUAGUGGCGGGCGGGGGAGGAGGAAGCCAGAGCGCCUGCGCGGGGAGGCCGCUUUCCAUCCGGGUCCCUGUCCGUGCGGUGCAGCAGGUCGGUAGGCGGGAAAUGGCGACUGGCUGAAGGAGCUGGUUCUGUUGCUGCUGAGGGAUAAGCGGGAAAGACACCACCUAUUGCGCAGUUGGGACCAUCGCCGGAGCCCGAGGACACUUUUCUGUCGUCACAGUGAAGGUUUACAUGUGGCACCCAUAAAAGAUGAAGCUGAGAACACGGAAGGCUUCUCAGCAGUCCAGUCCAAUCCAAACACAGCGCACUGCCAGAGCAAAAAGGAAAUACUCAGAGGUUGAUGAUAGCUUGCCUUCAGGAGGAGAAAAACCAUCCAAGAAUGAAACCGGCUUAUUGUCUUCAAUUAAAAAGUUCAUUAAAGGAAGCACGCCCAAGGAAGAGAGAGAAAAUCCUUCAAAACGGAGUA
RNAcentral lists this long non-coding RNA (772 nucleotides) under Rattus norvegicus (Norway rat). RNAcentral's name for it is "long non-coding RNA NONRATT018528". Lineage: Eukaryota; Metazoa; Chordata; Mammalia; Rodentia; Muridae. The record is from RNAcentral.